CCCAGGCGCCUUGGGGAGCGCCCCGCUGCCGUCCCUGCCCAGCCCCCACAGCAGGAGCGUGGACAAGGGCCAGCCAGCCAGCACUCUCGGGUGUGCAGUGUAGACACGGGUGGCUCCGCGUCACCCAGCCCUGGCAGCACCUCGGGCGGGGCACACUCUGCACUGACGCCCUGCUCACUUUGCUGUCGGGUUUCACAAGGAGCCCAACAGCGGCUCAGCAGCAGAGCCCCCCUGGCCAGCAGCAGGUGGCCCUGCCCCGGCCAGCCGCUCCUCACCGCCCCGUGUGCCAGGCUCUGUCCACUGCUUUGCCUGCAGCCCGGGAUUGCACCCUGUGCUGACAACGAGUGUUUCUCAAAGGAGGAAGGGGCCGGGCCCAGGGGCUGCAUCUGGGAGUGACACGGGCCAAUCCUAGAGGUCGCCAGGACUCAGUGAGGGCACCGUGUGAGCCCCAGAGGACUUUGCGGACGGGGAAAGGUGUCCUUGCUGAGGGACGAGGCAGAGAACUUGGCACGGGGUGGGAGAGCACAGGCUCAGCCCUGGGGCGGGCUCUAAGCCAGAGACGACUCAGUGUGGGUGCAGCAGGUGGACAUCAGUGUGAGGGGAGCUGGUGCACACUCAGUGUGGGUGGGGCUGGUGCACAUCAGUGUGUGUGGAGUUGGUGCACACUCAGUGUGGGAGGGGCUGGUGCACACUCAGUGUGGGAGGAGCUGACUGCAUACUCAGUGUGGGAGGGGCUGGUGCACACUCAGUGUGGGAGGGGCUGGUGCACACUCAGUGUGGGAGGGGCUGGUGCACAUCAGUGUGGGUGAGGCUGGUGCACAUCAGUGUGGGAGGAGCUGGUGCACACUCAGUGUGGGUGGAACUGGUGCACACUCUGUGUGGGUGGGGCUGGUGCACACUCAAUGUGGGUGGAGCUGGUGCACACUCAGUGUGGGAGGAGCUGGUGCACACUGAGUGUGGGAGGAGCUGGUGCACACUCAGUGUGAGGGGAGCUGGUGCACACUCGGUGUGGGGGGAGAUGGUGCACACUCAGUGUGGGAGGAGCUGGUGCACACUGAGUGUGGGAGGAGCUGGUGCACACUCAGUGUGGGUGGGGCUGGUGCACAUCAGUGUGGGUGGGGCUGGUGCACACUCAGUGCUGCACCAGUGCCCCAAGCCCCUCCCAGACGCCUUCAUUUCAUUACAGUGUAUCUCUGGAGGAGCCGCGGGUCACCUCCUGUCACUCAGUCUCUUUCCAAAGCAGCAGGGUCCCAGCGGAACCUGGCCCACAGGAGCCCCUGGUCCCUGGGGAGCGGAGUGAGGGUGCAGGGCAGAAGCCAAGGGCGCUCCUCAGCCGCACUCACAGACGCACACCACACACAGGGACACACAGACACGCCAGAGACACACGCCUCUGCACAAGGACACACACAGACAUACACACAUGGAAACACAACACACGUAUGGGUAAACACAGAUAAAACAGACGUAGAUGCACACAGACUCACAUGAAACAGACACCUAUGGACACACAAACACCCACACAGACACACAAGGACACACACCCAUAGGGACAACCACAGACACACACAGCGAUAGACACCCAGACACACACGCACGCACACGCACACGAGGGUACUUCAAAGAGUCCAUGGGAAAAGGGAAGGAAAAGAUAAGUGAAUUUUGGUGCAGAAAGCUCGAAAUGCAUGCCCAGUUUUUCCAUAACACACACUUUCCAUGACGUCUCAGAAUCCCCAUGUACGGAGGGCGCCCGACAUUUCUGGCACCAAAAUAAACUUGCCGUUCCAUUCCA
Molecule: long non-coding RNA, 1792 nt
Filed under: Oryctolagus cuniculus (rabbit)
Lineage: Eukaryota; Metazoa; Chordata; Mammalia; Lagomorpha; Leporidae
Description: lncRNA (ENSOCUG00000034590.1)
Source: RNAcentral